AUUGAACGCUGGCGGCAUGCCUAACGCAUGCAAGUCGAACGCCAAAGCGGAGAGGGCCACCCGUAGGGUGGGAAACGGGGGAGUAAUGACAUCGUAAACAUUUCCAGUAGCCGGGGGAUAACCUGUCGAAAGAUCAGGCUAAAACCUGCAAACGAUCUACGGAUGAACUCGGGGGACCAAGGGGCCACGCACAAUUGCAUUGGCCCAUGGCGAAUUACCCAGUUGGUUGGGGUAAAAGCUGACGGGGGAACCGAUCCGUAGCGGGUCUGAGAGGACGAUCACCCACACGGGAAUUGACACCCGGGCCACACUCCUACGGGAGGCACCCGUGGGGAAUUUUGGACAAGGGACUCUUGCCUGAUGCGCCCAUGCCGGGUGAGUGAACACGGCCUGCGGGUUGAAAGCCUCUUUCGGGGAAAACAAUUCGGUGAGGGUAAAAAUCGCUGACUACUGACGGAACUCGCCGAGCAAGCACCGGCUAACUACCUG
Molecule: ribosomal RNA, 489 nt
Filed under: uncultured bacterium
Lineage: Bacteria
Description: bacterial SSU rRNA
Rfam family: Bacterial small subunit ribosomal RNA
Source: RNAcentral